AAUGCUAGGCACACAACGUACGGACGCACAAUCUCUCACACAACCGCUGACGUCAUUCUCAAAACGACAUCGUUUUGCUUAAAAUAAAAAAAUAAAAAACAGGUCGCAAUGAACAGUCCCCCUUCUUCCCCUUCCCCAUUUCACGAUCAGAGAUUCAGAAUACAGACAAGGUGGGUGACCACCACCACCCAACCCAGCGCUCCCCCAUCGCCGGAGACCGCCAUCACCACCGGCCUCUGGGUACCCCGGCGCUCUCUCUCUCUCUCGAGACCGUUGUUACACUUUCUCCAACAAAAUCGAAUGAAACUUGAAGAGAUUUUUUAGAAGAAUCUUACCAAGAUCAAGAACAAGGAAUGCUGCGACACCACUCUGAAUGGUGCUAUGCAAGAGGGCAACGACGAAGCUAUGCAAGAGGGAGAGCUCCUUUUUGCAUCUAGAUCAUCAAAACCACUACUUCCCUGAUCAUCAAAACCACUACUUCCCUGAUCAUCAAAACUGCUACUAUCCUAGCAAGAGGGAGAGCACAAAGCAGUUCCACAGCUCCAAAAUUAAGUUCCCCUUGGUGUAUGGAGCGUCCAGCCAAGAAGAGAUGUUAGCGACACUUAGGAUUUUUCUUUUUCAUUUUGCUUGUAAUAUAGCUUAGGGUAGACGAUGAUGAUGAUGUUCGGCUCAUGCCUCUUUUGUAAAACAUUAUGUAUUCAUGUCGGCUAAAUUUAAAACUUUCGUUUCAAUUGCAAUUGAACUACUGGUUUGCUCU
Long non-coding RNA from Rhododendron vialii, 757 nucleotides. RefSeq lists it as uncharacterized. The transcript has 2 exons. NCBI's taxonomy places the organism in Eukaryota, Viridiplantae, Streptophyta, Magnoliopsida, Ericales, Ericaceae. The record is from RefSeq and is a predicted model, not a curated record.